This 467-nucleotide ribosomal RNA is filed under the name uncultured bacterium. RNAcentral describes it as "bacterial SSU rRNA". It matches the Rfam family "Bacterial small subunit ribosomal RNA", at positions 30 to 508 of the family's 1533-position model. The record is from RNAcentral.
AUUGAACGCUGGCGGCAUGCCUUACACAUGCAAGUCGAACGGCAGCACGGGUGCUUGCACCUGGUGGCGAGUGGCGAACGGGUGAGUAAUACAUCGGAACGUACCUUAUCGUGGGGGAUAACGCAGCGAAAGCUGUGCUAAUACCGCAUACGCCCUGAGGGGGAAAGCGGGGGAUCGAAAGACCUCGCGCGAUUAGAGCGGCCGAUGCCUGAUUAGCUUGUUGGUGGGGUAAAAGCCCACCAAGGCGACGAUCAGUAGCUGGUCUGAGAGGACGAUCAGCCACACUGGGACUGAGACACGGCCCAGACUCCUACGGGAGGCAGCAGUGGGGAAUUUUGGACAAUGGGGGAAACCCUGAUCCAGCAAUGCCGCGUGAGUGAAGAAGGCCUUCGGGUUGUAAAGCUCUUUUUUCUAGGGAGGAAUAAAAUGACGUGUACCUGAAGAAUAAGCAUCGGCUAACUCCGUAG